Long non-coding RNA from Anolis carolinensis (green anole), 3964 nucleotides. RefSeq lists it as uncharacterized. The transcript has 2 exons. NCBI's taxonomy places the organism in Eukaryota, Metazoa, Chordata, Lepidosauria, Squamata, Anolidae. The record is from RefSeq and is a predicted model, not a curated record.
AGAACGCACACAGCGCGACGUCAAACUACAUCCCCCAGAAGGCCCUCCGCAAACCGUGACGUCAGAGCAGCGCGACGGCACACCCUCCUCAGAGUUACUCUGGUUUCCUUAGGAACCGCUUGAUACAGACUGGGUGCCUCUUAUCCGAAAUGCUUGGGACCAGAAUGGAUUUGAAUUACAUAGGGAGUCAAAGUCGAAAACACCUGGAGGGCCAAGGUUUACCCAUGCCUGCUCUACAGGCCAGUGGAUACUCCACCACCGGCAUCAGACCAAGAACAAGCCACCAAAGUAAAGACAAAGACCCACCCAAAGGAAAAGUGUUCUUGCCAUACAUCAAGGGAACCACUGACCGCAAGGGGAUGGUGAUGAAGAAACAUAACCUAGUAAAAGACCCACCAAGAAAAUCCAAGAAAUGCUUCGUUCAGCAAAGGACAAGAGGUAUCCUCUCACCAAUGCAGGAGUCUACUGUAUACCAUGCAGCUGUGAACAAGUCUACGUAGGGACCCCCAAACCCAGCAUUGCCCAAACACGAAUCAAGGAACAUGAAAGGCACUGCAGACUAACUCAGCCAGAGACGUCUGCCAUAGCAGAGCCCUUGUUGAACCAACCUGGACACAGCAUAUUAUUGGAGAACACAGAAAUGUUGGACCACUCUAACAACCACUAUGUCAGGCUACACAGAAAAGCCACUGAAAUCCACAAGCAUGUGUGGACAAUUCCAACAGAAAGGAGGAAACCAUGACAAUGAACAAAAUCUGGCUACCAGUAUUAUAAAAAAAAACCCUCUAAAAUCAGGACAGGAAAUAAAGAACAACACUCAGAAAACAGUGGAAUUCCAGAAAGGAAACAAUCAGGGCCAGCUAACACCUCCCAACAAAGGAUUUCCCCAGGCAGGAAUCACCAGGCUUUGAAUCUGCAAGGCCAUUAAAUACUAAUCAAGGUGAUAAAUUGCAACAUUCACACAUGCCUCAAACAGACAAGAGUUUUUUCUCCCACCCUGGACAUUCCAGAGAUAUAUAAACCCCACUUGCCUUGUUUCCAACAGACCUCAUAACUUUUGAGAAUGCCUGCCAUAGAUGCAGGUGAAACGUCAGGAAAGAAUUCUUCUGGAACGUGGCCUUACAGCCCGGAAAACUCUCAGCAAACCCUUUUUGAAUUACCUUUUGUUCCCCCGGAUUUUGGAAUAUCUGUGUACAGAAGAUAUAUCUUGAAGGGAUGCAAGACUGAACACAGAUCUUACUUACCCUGUUUCCCCUAAAAUAAGACAUCCCCAGAAAAUAAGACCUAGUAGAGGUUUUGCUGAAUUGCUAAAUAUAAGGCCUCCCCCGAAAGUAAGACCUAGAAACGUUUUUUUUGGAAGCAUGCCCGCCGAACAGAACACCAGAGCAUGCAGGAUCGGUAAAUGUACAUACCAUAAAGUGUUGUACAUGGAAAUAUUGGUAGUAACAAGAAAUUCUUGAUAGGAUUCACAGUUUGUCUGGUUAUGCUGGUUUAUGAUGACAACUACUGUACAGUAUAUAAUAAAUGUUCAUUUUUUUGUUCAAAUGUGAAUUUUUCUUCAUGGAAAAAUAAGACAUCCCCUGAAAAUAAGACCUAGAGCAUCUUUGGGAGCAAAAAUUAAUAUAAGACACUGUCAUAUUUUCGGGGAAACACGGUAUGUACAUUGACACACAUACCUGCCUGAAGUUUAUUUAUUUAUUUACCUGUACUUUGUUUUACAUCCUGCCCUCUCUCUCAUUGAGGGACUCAGAAUGGCUAACAUAUGGCAUAAAUCGAUAUCUUUCAACAAUCAUUUUGUUCAGAAAACGAAGUUUGUGUACAAUGAACGCUAGAAAACAAAGCUCAUUUGGGUUGCUGUGAGUGUUCUGGACUGUAUGGCUAUGUUCAGAAGCAUUUUCUUCUGAAGUUUUGCCCACAUCUCUGGCAGGCAUCCUCAGAGGUUGUGAGGCUUGUUGGAAACUAGGUAAGUGGGGUUUAUGUAUCAGUGGAAUGUCCAGCGUGUAAGAAAAAAGCUCUUGUCUGCCUGAAAGUUGCAAUUGGUCACAUUGAUUAGCAUUGAAUAGCCUUGUAGCUUCAAAGCCUGGCUGCUUCCUGCCUGGGGGAAUCCUCUGUUGGAGGUGUUAAUUGGCCCUGAUUGUUUAAUACCUGGAAUUUCCAUUUUUGGCAAGAAGAAGCCAGGCUUUGAAGCUGAAAGGCUAUUCAAUACUAAUCAAGAUGGCCAACUGCAACAUUCACACUUGUCUCAGGCAGAAGAGUUCUUUCUCCCAUCCUGAAUACUGUAGGAUUAGGGGGGAUACGACUUUUAAAGGCCAUUUUAAUGUAUUUAAUGUAUUUUAAUUCUGAUUUACCACACUGUUAUUAUUUAAUUAUUUUUUUAACUUUUGAAUUGCUCUUUUUAAACUGUUUAGUGUGGAUAAAUGUUAGCAGCCUUCCCCAAGGUGAAUUGGAUCAGGAGUGACAACUUUGUGGUGCGCACAUGACACUUAGUUCAUUUGCCUUAAUGUGGCCUUGUCCCACCUUUUAAAAAGUUUCAGGAUGCUUCAGGGAAGCUCUGCAACUAGCCUGUUAUAGGCCAGUGUAAACAGUUGAGCCACUUUCUAGUUGGAUGUGGCUAUAGUAGUUCUCACCACCACACCACAUUCCUCCGGCUGGGGAAUCUCAGGGAGAGGAGUUGGUGAUUACCUUUCCUUGCCAUUAUGGCCUUUGCAGUGACUGCCAGACACAAAUAUUGCAUUAGUUGGCACUCUGCACCUGAAGCAACAAGGUGAUUGGAGAAAGGGGGGAGGGAAAGAGGGAGCUGAGUGGUGAACACUGCCAUUUUUUUAAUGUUUGGUGAUUGCCAUUAAGAGUAAUCAACAGGAGUAAGAGUGGUAGUCUGGUGGCACUGAACCAGUUCCAGCACCACUAGGCCAUGUGGAUGCCAAUCAGUCACCAGCUUGUGGCUGCACAAUUCAGACUUGUCAGUUCCUGAACUGGCCGAGUGGCUGUCCAUGUGGGCUCUGAUACCCCACUCCUGAUAAGCAUCACCAUUUGUGACGUGUAGAUGGGCCCCUACUGUGCCUUGCCAAUGUUGAAUAAAGAAACCCUGUGACACCAUAAUGUAGAUGGCAUUUUAUGAUAGUUUAAUGACCUAGGUCAAAUUUAGUCAUACUGUACUUACAGUUCAGCCACUAUAUUCAAUGAAACUGUUACUGAUUUCAGUGAGUCUAAACUUAUAACUAAGUGUAGACCCAAAUAAAAUUAUUUCCAAUUUUUUUUUGUGAGAAUAGGUAGUGGGAAACAUGCAUAUAGCCAUUUAGCAAAUAGCAGAUUGCCAUAUAGCAGAUGACAAAUUUCUCUAAGUAUGUAAAUAUAAAUUAGUACAGUGUUCCCUCACUACUUCGCAGUUCGCUUUUUGCGGAAUUGCUGUUUUGCGGUUUUUUAGUAAACACUAAAAUAUUAUAAAUCAAAAAAAAUAUGAUUUACAGUGGAGGUGGUCUCAAUCGGGUGUGGGCGGUGGGGCAGAGAAGGAGCCCAAAUGACAGCGGGAGGAGGCGGCACCAUGUUCCCCUGCCUCUUUCUUCCCUUCCUCCCUCUUUGUACUUCCUUCCUAAGGAAAAGCCUAGUGUCCCUACUUGGCAGAUUUCCACUUAUUGCGGGUGGUCCUGGAACGUAACCCCCGCGAUAAGUGAGGGAACACUGUAUACAAUUUCUCAAAUUGUAACAAAGAAUACAAAAAAAAGUUCCUAGCAAAACUUUGGCAAUAUUAACAAAACAUUUAGGACUUUUAGACUAAAGGGUUAGACCAGAUAGAGAUUCAACCAGUCUUGUGACUUUCCAGAAGUUAGACUGCAACUCUUAACAGAACAAAUGGUGAGGGGUAUUGCAAUCCAACAUUUGUAGAAUUGGAAGGAAAUACCUGGACGCUGUUGGAAAUGGAAGUCUGAACUGCAUUCUUUUUAAAAUAAACUCUUGCACAUCUUAA